UAAAGCGAAUAAGGGCGCAUGGUGGAUGCCUAGGGUCUGAGAGGCGAUGAAAGACGUGGUAAGCUGCGAUAAGCUACGGGGAGGUGCACACGACCGUUAUAUCCGUAGAUUUCUGAAUGGGACAACCUAAUAUACUGAAGGUAUAUUAUCCCGAUUUUAAUCGGGAAGCCAACCCCGAGAACUGAAACAUCUAAGUACCGGGAGGAAAAGAAAAUAAUAAUGAUUCCCUGAGUAGUGGCGAGCGAAAAGGGAAGAGCCCAAACCGGGUCAGCGUGCUGAUCCGGGGUUAUAGGACUGCAUUUAGAAAUUGUUAUCAAACUGAAUCAUCUGGAAAGAUGAGCCAUAGCAGGUGAUAGCCCUGUAGGUGCAAAUUAACAAGGACGAGCAGUAUCCUGAGUAACGCGGGACCGGAGGAAUCUUGCGUGAAUUUGCCAGCACCAUCUGGUAAGGCUAAAUACUCCUCAGACACCGAUAGUGAACCAGUACCGUAAGGGAAAGGUGAAAAGCACCCCGAACAGGGGAGUGAAAUAGUACCUGAAACCGUGCGCCUACAAGCGGUCGGAGUCCCGAUUUAUCGGGAUGACGGCGUGCCUUUUGCAUAAUGAGCCUACGAGUUGCUCCUCACUGGCGAGGUUAAGUUCUUAUAUAACGGAGCCGAAGCGAAAGCGAGUCCAAAUAGGGCGAAUAGUCAGUGGGGGCAGACGCGAAACUUUGUGAUCUAUCCAUGGGCAGGUUGAAGGUGUGGUAACACACACUGGAGGACCGAACCCGUUGACGUUGAAAAGUCUUGGGAUGACCUGUGGAUAGGGGUGAAAGGCCAAUCAAACUGAGAGAUAGCUCGUUCUCCCCGAAAUGUUUUUAGGAACAGCGUUGCAUUAUGAAGUUUAUUAGAGGUAGAGCUACUGAUUGGGCUAGGGGGCUUCACCGCCUACCAAACCCUGACAAACUCCGAAUGCUAAUAAAUAUCUGCAGCAGUGAGGCUUUGGGCGCUAAGGUCCAGGGCCGAGAGGGAAAUAACCCAGAUUAGCAACUAAGGUCCCUAAUACGUAGUUAAGUUGAUCAAACGAGGUGGGAUUUCUAUAACAGCCAGGAUGUUGGCUUGGAAGCAGCCAUUCAUUUAAAGAGUGCGUAACAGCUCACUGGUCGAGAGAUCCUGCACGGAAAAUAAUCGGGCAUCAAACUACGAACCGAAGUUCUAAAUUCUAGCUUGCUAGAGUGGUAGGGGAGCAUUGAAAUCUGCACAGAAGGUGUAUCGCGAGAUAUGCUGGAGCGAUUUCAAAAGAAAAUGUAGGCAUAAGUAACGAUAAUUAAAGUGAAAAACUUUAACGCGAAAAGUCUAAGGUUUCCUGAUCAACGUUAAUCGGAUCAGGGUUAGUCUGGUCCUUAGGAAAACCCGAAAGGGGCAUCUGAUGGAAAGAAGGUUAAUAUUCCUUCACCUACUAUGCAAUAAAAGUGACGCAGGGACGUGGUGGUUGCGUACGGACGGAAGUGUACGCCUGAGUGGAGUCUUCGGAUGAAGCGAAAUCAUAAAAUCCCUGCCAAGAAAAGCGAGCAUAGCAGCCAGUACCGGAAUCCGACACAGGUAGACGGGAUGAGUAUUCUAACGCGCUCGGGUGAGCCGUGGAGAAGGAACUAGGCAAAUUAACGCUGUAACUUCGGGAUAAAGCGUACCAUCGCGAGAUGGUCACAGUAAAAUGGUACAACCAACUGUUUAACAAAAACACAGGGCCCUGCAAAAACGUAAGUUGACGUAUAGAGCCUGAAACCUGCCCGGUGCUGGAAGGUUAAGGAAGGGUGUUCGGCGCAAGCCAAAGCUCCUGACUGAAGCCCCAGUAAACGGCGGCCGUAACUAUAACGGUCCUAAGGUAGCGAAAUUCCUUGUCGGGUAAGUUCCGACCUGCACGAAUGGUCUAAUGAGUUGUACACUGUCUCCUCCACGAGCCCGGUGAAAUUGUAGUAUCGGUGAAGAUGCCGGUUACCCGCCACGGGACGGAAAGACCCCGUGAACCUUCACUACAACUUUGCAUUGAUUUUGAGCAACAAAUGUGUAGGAUAGUUGGGAGACUAUGAAGCAGUGUCGCCAGGCAUUGUGGAGUCAACGUUGAAAUACCAACCUUUUGUUGCUUAGAACCUAACCCUGAACAAGGGGACAUUGCAUGGUGGGUAGUUUGACUGGGGUGGUCGCCUCCUAAAAAGUAACGGAGGCUCGCAAAGGUACCCUCAGUACGGUUGGUAAUCGUACGCAGAGCGCAUUAGUAAAAGGGUGCUUGACUGUGAGACAAACACGUCGAGCAGGAGCGAAAGCUGGCUAAAGUGAUCCGGUGGUUCUGUAUGGAAGGGCCAUCGCUCAAAGGAUAAAAGGUACUCCGGGGAUAACAGGCUGAUCUUACCCAAGAGCUCAUAUCGACGGUAAGGUUUGGCACCUCGAUGUCGGUUCGUCACAUCCUGGGGCUGGAGAAGGUCCCAAGGGUUCGGCUGUUCGCCGAUUAAAGUGGCACGUGAACUGGGUUCAGAACGUCGCAAGACAGUUCGGUCCCUAUCUGUGGUGGGCGCUAGUAAAUUGAGAGGACGUGACCUUAGUACGAGAGGACCGGGUUGCACGUACCGCUGGUGUAUCUGUUAUGCCGCCAGGUGUAAUGCAGAGUAGCUAUGUACGGCAAGGAUAAACGCUGAAAGCAUCUAAGCGUGAAACCUUCCACAAGAUGAGUUUACUUUUAAGGGUCGUCGAAGACUACGACGUUGAUAGGCUAUAGGUGUAAAGUUGGUAACAACAAAGCCGAGUAGUACUAAUUGCCCGUAAGCUUUAUUUU
RNAcentral lists this ribosomal RNA (2810 nucleotides) under Sediminibacterium sp. C3. RNAcentral's name for it is "bacterial LSU rRNA". It matches the Rfam family "Bacterial large subunit ribosomal RNA". The record is from RNAcentral. Lineage: Bacteria; Pseudomonadati; Bacteroidota; Chitinophagia; Chitinophagales; Chitinophagaceae.